CAUUCAUGCCACGCAUGUCAAAGGAGGAUGUGAAAAGAAUAUCAAAUGCCUGCACAAAGGAAAUGGAUGAAUAUAUGAAAGCCACAAAAUGAGGAAAGGCAUACAAACACGAAAAGAAAGAAAUGAUAGAAAGGCAAGACAAACAUGAGCAUACUUCUUCUGAAUCAAUUAACAUUCAAUUGCUAUCAAGUGAUUCAACUAAGACUCUGCCAAAACCAGGGUCUUGG
Molecule: long non-coding RNA, 227 nt
Filed under: Olea europaea (common olive)
Lineage: Eukaryota; Viridiplantae; Streptophyta; Magnoliopsida; Lamiales; Oleaceae
Description: long non-coding RNA (OEUR_LNC015268)
Source: RNAcentral